RNAcentral lists this ribosomal RNA (497 nucleotides) under uncultured bacterium. RNAcentral's name for it is "partial 16S ribosomal RNA". It matches the Rfam family "Bacterial small subunit ribosomal RNA", at positions 28 to 507 of the family's 1533-position model. The record is from RNAcentral.
GAUGAACGCUGGCGGCGUGCCUAAUACAUGCAAGUCGAGCGAACGGACGAGAAGCUUGCUUUUCUGAUGUUAGCGGCGGACGGGUGAGUAACACGUGGAUGACCUACCUAUAAGACUGGGAUAACUUCGGGAAACCGGAGCUAAUACCGGAUAAUAUUUUGAACCGCAUGGUUCAAAAGUGAAAGACGGUCUUGCUGUCACUUAUAGAUGGAUCCGCGCUGCAUUAGCUAGUUGGUAAGGUAACGGCUUACCAAGGCAACGAUGCAUAGCCGACCUGAGAGGGUGAUCGGCCACCUUGGAACUGAGACACGGUCCAGACUCCUACGGGAGGCAGCAGUAGGGAAUCUUCCGCAAUGGGCGAAAGUCUGACGGAGCAACGCCGCGUGAGUGAUGAAGGUCUUCGGAUCGUAAAACUCUGUUAUUAGGGAAGAACAUAUGUGUAAGUAACUGUGCACAUCUUGACGGUACCUAAUCAGAAAGCCACGGCUAACUACGUG